This 83-nucleotide transfer RNA is filed under the name Streptomyces rimosus subsp. rimosus. Its description in RNAcentral is "tRNA-Ala". Lineage: Bacteria; Bacillati; Actinomycetota; Actinomycetes; Kitasatosporales; Streptomycetaceae. The record is from RNAcentral.
GGCGGCCUGGCGUACGUGGUCGAGCACGAGGUCGGCGGCGCCGACCGCGAGCAGGAGGGCCUGUUCCAGUCCGGCGGCGGUGU